GAUAAGAGCAAAACUCUGUCUCAUAAAAAAAAAUAAUAAUAAUAAAAACGAUUGCUUAAGGCCUGUCUGCCUCUCUUUCAAAGGGAAAAUCCCUCAGCUUUUUAAAAUAAAUUAAAUCCUGUCAACGAGCGAUGAGGGUUGAUUAGAUGAGAUUGGGGGAAGAAGCCCUCCUUCUCAAUGAGUGGUCCAGAAACCAGCAGCAUGGGCGUCCCAUGGGAGUGGUCGGAAAUGCUGACGCUGAGGGCCCUGAACUGCUGAGUCAAGCUCUUCUAAUGAUCCGUAAGUGGUCUGCACACACAACAUGCCUCAGAGAAGCCCUGCUGGGAGGCACCCACGCAGACCCAGACACUCACUGACCAUGGCGGGAGGUGGCACCUAUUAUUUUUAUGAUGAGAGGGAACCUCAAACUCUACUGUGAUGUAAGUGGUCUCAAAGUCCCUUUGAAGUCACCAUUUUAUCUAAAUCAGAAAUAGAGAGGAAAAAAAUAAGAAAUGGCCAGCUUAGAAAGACUCAAAUUCUUUUGGGGGGAAAAAAUACCAGGAAGAAAGAAAAGAAAAAUACAUUGUUUCCUUGGCCAUCUGUGUGAAGAAAUAACAAAACCACCCUUGACAUACCAGCAGGAAAGAACACUGGCGAGCUUUACUUGACAGAAUUAUUAGAAACGCCUCUUCCUGGUUCAGGGGAAAAAAAAAUUCCAAAUAGGUUUGUAAGAUUUUUUUCCCUAGCGUGCUUGCAACUCCCAGUAAAGCCAACAACCAGUUUUCAAAACCUUUUGAUUCUACUCAUCCCGUGGUUAAUAAUUUCCAGUUUACCCAGCAGGCUACAUAACAUCCCCUUUCCUGGGAAAUAAUUUCUGUGUCCUGGAUGGCAGUGAGCUGGUCCCCUUAGCAGCUGAGCUCCUCCUCCAGCCCUGUGGCUGCCUCCUCUCCAACAGGGACCUUCCUGGUGAAAGAAAAGAAACUCAGUAAUUCACUGAACAUCACCCAAGACCGGGUGCAGACCGAUGCCCGGGCGUAUAAAAGACGUAGUACUCCCUUCAUUCCCGUUUCACAGGUGCACAGACUUCAUCUUCGAGAGGCUCCUGCCAAAAGUCACCCAACUGAUUUUCAUCCACUUGGCUCCCCAGGUUGCUGCUCGACCGCUCUCUGACCUGGAUUCACUGAGGACACAUCAGGCCUUUGCCACUGGGUUCAUGGGGUGGCCAGAGCCCAGGGUUGGGUGAGUGUGGGGUGGGUCUGAGGGGGAGGAUGUGCAUCCAGGGGCCAGGCCAGCCCCUGCAGGAUUUUCUGAUGUCAAAUCGCCUGUCCUGUGCCUGAGCCCUAUUACCCUAGCAGAAUGAGGACAUGCGCCUCCCUGGGCUUCCCCAGCAUGGCCUGAGUGAGUAUCUCCCUGGCUGCAG
Molecule: long non-coding RNA, 1399 nt
Organism: Chlorocebus sabaeus (green monkey)
Lineage: Eukaryota; Metazoa; Chordata; Mammalia; Primates; Cercopithecidae
Source: RefSeq, a predicted model, not a curated record